This 468-nucleotide ribosomal RNA is filed under the name uncultured bacterium. RNAcentral's name for it is "partial 16S ribosomal RNA". It matches the Rfam family "Bacterial small subunit ribosomal RNA", at positions 28 to 507 of the family's 1533-position model. The record is from RNAcentral.
GACGAACGCUGGCGGCGUGCUUAACACAUGCAAGUCGAACGGAAAGGCCCUGCUUUUGUGGGGUGCUCGAGUGGCGAACGGGUGAGUAACACGUGAGUAACCUGCCCUUGACUUUGGGAUAACUUCAGGAAACUGGGGCUAAUACCGGAUAGGAGCUCCUGCUGCUUGGUGGGGGUUGGAAAGUUUGGGCGGUUGGGGAUGGACUCGGGGCUAAUCAGCUGGUUGGUGGGGUAGUGGCUUACCAAGGCUUUGACGGGUAGCCGGCCUGAGAGGGUGACCGGCCACAUUGGGACUGAGAUACGGCCCAGACUCCUACGGGAGGCAGCAGUGGGGAAUAUUGCACAAUGGGCGGAAGCCUGAUGCAGCAACGCCGCGUGCGGGAUGACGGCCUUCGGGUUGUAAACCGCUUUCGCCUGUGACGAAGCGUGAGUGACGGUAAUGGGUAAAGAAGCACCGGCUAACUACGUG